GGAGAGAUGGAUGAGCGGUUUAAGUCGCACGCCUGGAAAGCGUGUAAGGGUUAACAGCCCUUCGGGGGUUCGAAUCCCCCUCUCUCCGCCA
RNAcentral lists this transfer RNA (91 nucleotides) under Thiomonas delicata. Its description in RNAcentral is "tRNA-Ser". It matches the Rfam family "tRNA". From Rfam's summary of the family: Transfer RNA (tRNA) molecules are approximately 80 nucleotides in length. Their secondary structure includes four short double-helical elements and three loops (D, anti-codon, and T loops). Lineage: Bacteria; Pseudomonadati; Pseudomonadota; Betaproteobacteria; Burkholderiales. The record is from RNAcentral. RNAcentral also lists the same sequence under 10 other names.